CUCAAAACUAUCAAAGCCAUCAAAAACAAGAUGAGCGAAGUGAGGUGCAGAGCUGUCUGGCAGGUUGGUCAAAAUUGAACACUGAAUAUGUGACAUAGAGUUUGAAGCCUACUCUUUUGAACAACCCUGUAUUUUUACUGAGUGCCCACUAUGAGCCAGGCCAUCUGACAGGACACUGAGGAAGUAUACCAGUGAUUAUGUGAAUGCAGAAAAAGAUGCAAGGGUGAGGAUGGAGAGAAUGCAAAGGGAAGAAUUUUAGGAGGAGGAGCCUGAUGCGCAGGCCAGUGUACAACUGAAAGUGAGACUGGCCAGGACAAUUUACUGGAGAACGUGGACUAAGCCAGAAAGAGAAGACAGUAGGAAUUGGAAAGGAUUCAGAGAAAGGGCGCUUCAUAGAAAAAAAUAGAAUUUAAUGGGGAAAAAAUUUGAAUUCUCCUCCCUAUCCAUUUCUAGGGACAGUGGCAGGUUCAUUGGCGUAGAACUAUGGACAGAAAAGUGGUGUGGCCCAGAGAGUCCUGGGAAACAGAAACUAGAGCCCAUUGCUACUGAGAGCCCUGUAGGGACGGAGCAAUCCCGUGCUUAGAGACGUCAAAGCCUCCAAUGUAGCGUAGCCAUGGGGCAGGGAUUCACAGAAAGCAGUGAGAUUUUUUGGGGUCUCUAUAUGUGGGAACUGUGAAUGUGUAUGUGGCUUGAGGCAGCUAGGAAACCUCAGUCCUCUAGGUUUCUAUACACUUAAGUGAGGUAAGUGUUUUAGAGGAGAUUCAUUAAUGUCUCAAAGUAUCUUUGAGUAAGACUGCUUCUCCGGAAUUCAAUGUAUUUCCAGUAACUAUGGGAAACCGGAUGGGUGGGUAAAUACACCACUGACAAUAUUCUAUGAAAUUUCUUAUAUACACAAAAUAGGAAUUUUUGUAAAUUCUAGAAAGAUUUUAUAUAAAUAGGAAAUUAAUACUGAUUCUGCCAAGGUUUAUUAAGCUUAUAUGUGUAUGGGUACACACAUAUUAAGACACUAUAAAGAGACUGGAAAAAGAGCUCUCUUUCUCAGCUUAAAUAAUAAACUCCUUGAGAAGUUAUUGUUGUUACAUUUCCACAGUGUCCCACAGAAUGUGCCACGCAGAAUGUAGGUAUACCUCAUUUCACACAACUGUCUUUGAAAAAUUUGUUCUCCCUUGUGCUUUUGCUGUAGAGCAACAAAUCUGGAAUCCACAUGCAUGAUUCACAAGUUUCCGAACAUGAAUUCUGGCUCCUAUGUCUGUUUCUGUGGUAUUUACAAACAUUCCAAAUGCUACCAUAUUAGAGCGAUCAUUAUGAAAUAUUGGAUUGUGUUUACAUCUUUCAUUUCUACAGAUGGUAAAAUACGGACACACAUUUGGACUAAAACUACUUAUAACAGACAUUCAAU
This is a long non-coding RNA of Lemur catta (Ring-tailed lemur), 1399 nucleotides long. RefSeq lists it as uncharacterized. Lineage: Eukaryota; Metazoa; Chordata; Mammalia; Primates; Lemuridae. The record is from RefSeq and is a predicted model, not a curated record. The transcript has 3 exons.